AAACUUACCCUUCAGGGGCGAUACCAUGAUCAGGAAGGUGGUUCUCCCAGAGCGAGGCUUAUCCAUUGCACUCUGGAUAUGUUGAUCCCUGUGAUUUCCCCAAAUGUGGGAAACUCGACUGCAUAAUUUGUGGUAUUGGGGGACUAUGUUCACUCUUUUCCCUG
Molecule: small nuclear RNA, 164 nt
Gene: U1
Rfam family: U1 spliceosomal RNA
About the family: U1 is a small nuclear RNA (snRNA) component of the spliceosome (involved in pre-mRNA splicing).
Source: Ensembl